GCAUGGAUGCUGACUCUGCAUGGCAUCCUGGUGGCAAGGCUCUAUGACCCCAAAGCUGAGGCAGGGAGGGGACCAAGUGGAGACAUGGGAGCCUGCAGCCAGGAGGGGCUGAGGGGAGGUUAUGUCGGCACUGCCUAAGCCGGAAGAACAAACACUCUAGCGAUGGGAAGUAUCAACAAUUCUACUUUGAAACUACUCAGACAGUGUCUCUUCCCUCUUACUCCCCCAAAGGAGGAGAAGAACGAUUAUCAAUGACCAAGCGCAGCUGCAAAGACAACACCCAGAGUGAGCUUCACAGGAAGGAACACUGCACCCUCUCCUCAC
This is a long non-coding RNA of Leopardus geoffroyi (Geoffroy's cat), 324 nucleotides long. RefSeq lists it as uncharacterized. NCBI's taxonomy places the organism in Eukaryota, Metazoa, Chordata, Mammalia, Carnivora, Felidae. The record is from RefSeq and is a predicted model, not a curated record. The transcript has 3 exons.